GACGAACGCUGGCGGCGUGCUUAACACAUGCAAGUCGAACGGAAAGGCCCUGCUUUUGUGGGGUGCUCGAGUGGCGAACGGGUGAGUAACACGUGAGUAACCUGCCCUUGACUUUGGGAUAACUUCAGGAAACUGGGGCUAAUACCGGAUAGGAGCGCCUGCUGCAUGGUGGGGGUUGGAAAGUUUCGGCGGUUGGGGAUGGACUCGCGGCUUAUCAGCUUGUUGGUGGGGUAGUGGCUUACCAAGGCUUUGACGGGUAGCCGGCCUGAGAGGGUGACCGGCCACAUUGGGACUGAGAUACGGCCCAGACUCCUACGGGAGGCAGCAGUGGGGAAUAUUGCACAGUGGGCGGAAGCCUGAUGCAGCAACGCCGCGUGCGGGAUGACGGCCUUCGGGUUGUAAACCGCUUUCGCCUGUGACGAAGCGUGAGUGACGGUAAUGGGUAAAGAAGCACCGGCUAACUACGUG
This 468-nucleotide ribosomal RNA is filed under the name uncultured bacterium. Its description in RNAcentral is "partial 16S ribosomal RNA". It matches the Rfam family "Bacterial small subunit ribosomal RNA", at positions 28 to 507 of the family's 1533-position model. The record is from RNAcentral.